This 274-nucleotide ribosomal RNA is filed under the name uncultured bacterium. Its description in RNAcentral is "partial 16S ribosomal RNA". It matches the Rfam family "Bacterial small subunit ribosomal RNA", at positions 523 to 796 of the family's 1533-position model. The record is from RNAcentral.
AUACGGAGGGAGCAAGCGUUAUUCGGAAUCACUGGGCGUAAAGGACGCGUAGGCGGGUUUGUAAGUCAGGUGUGAAAUCCUACAGCUCAACUGUAGAACUGCACCUGAAACUACAGACCUAGAGUAUGGAAGGGGCAGAUGGAAUUAGUGGUGUAGGGGUAAAAUCCGUAGAUAUCACUAGGAAUACCGAAAGCGAAGGCGAUCUGCUGGGACAUUACUGACGCUGAGGCGUGAAAGCGUGGGGAGCAAACAGGAUUAGAAACCCUAGUAGUCC